RNAcentral lists this ribosomal RNA (427 nucleotides) under uncultured bacterium. RNAcentral's name for it is "partial 16S ribosomal RNA". It matches the Rfam family "Bacterial small subunit ribosomal RNA", at positions 354 to 796 of the family's 1533-position model. The record is from RNAcentral.
GUGAGGAAUCUUCCACAAUGGGCGAAAGCCUGAUGGAGCAACGCCGCGUGAAGGAUGAAGGUCUUCGGAUUGUAAACUUCUUUUAUGAGUGAAGAAUAUGACGGUAACUCAUGAAUAAGCACCGGCUAACUACGUGCCAGCAGCCGCGGUCAUACGUAGGGUGCAAGCAUUAUCCGGAGUGACUGGGCGUAAAGAGUUGCGUAGGCGGUUAUGUAAGCGAAUAGUGAAACCUGGUGGCUCAACCACACAGACGAUUAUUCGAACUGCAUAACUCGAGAAUGGUAGAGGUAACUGGAAUUUCUUGUGUAGGAGUGAAAUCCGUAGAUAUAAGAAGGAACACCAAUGGCGUAGGCAGGUUACUGGGCCAUUUCUGACGCUAAGGCACGAAAGCGUGGGGAGCAAACAGGAUUAGAUACCCUAGUAGUCC